RNAcentral lists this long non-coding RNA (240 nucleotides) under Elaeis guineensis (African oil palm). RNAcentral describes it as "long non-coding RNA (EGUI_LNC047121)". Lineage: Eukaryota; Viridiplantae; Streptophyta; Magnoliopsida; Arecales; Arecaceae. The record is from RNAcentral.
UGGUAGCUGAGGGGGUUCAGUGAGACUCAAGCUGGGGUUGGUAGUCGAAGGUGGCUGAUAUAUUGACAACAAUUAUAAGAGUCGACAUGGAUGGUCGACUGGUGUCUGAUUGGUAAGAUUAAAUGGGUCUAACCACCCAAGCCUGCUGAUUGAGGAUGAUCUAGCUUGAUGCAGGUCAACUCAGGUGUCAAGCCCCUGUGCCUAUUAGAUAAAGGCUAAUAAACCCCACCUCGCAAUAGG